This 471-nucleotide ribosomal RNA is filed under the name uncultured bacterium. RNAcentral describes it as "partial 16S ribosomal RNA". It matches the Rfam family "Bacterial small subunit ribosomal RNA", at positions 355 to 818 of the family's 1533-position model. The record is from RNAcentral.
UAGGGAAUCUUCCACAAUGGACGAAAGUCUGAUGGAGCAACGCCGCGUGAGUGAUGAAGGGUUUCGGCUCGUAAAACUCUGUUGUUGGAGAAGAACAGGUGUGAGAGUAACUGUUCACAUCUUGACGGUAUCCAACCAGAAAGCCACGGCUAACUACGUGCCAGCAGCCGCGGUAAUACGUAGGUGGCAAGCGUUGUCCGGAUUUAUUGGGCGUAAAGCGAGCGCAGGCGGUUUCUUAGGUCUGAUGUGAAAGCCUUCGGCUUAACCGGAGAAGUGCAUCGGAAACCAGGAGACUUGAGUGCAGAAGAGGACAGUGGAACUCCAUGUGUAGCGGUGAAAUGCGUAGAUAUAUGGAAGAACACCAGUGGCGAAGGCGACUGUCUGGUCUGUAACUGACGCUGAGGCUCGAAAGCAUGGGUAGCGAACAGGAUUAGAUACCCUGGUAGUCCAUGCCGUAAACGAUGAGUGCUA